Molecule: long non-coding RNA, 3673 nt
Organism: Dermochelys coriacea (leatherback sea turtle)
Lineage: Eukaryota; Metazoa; Chordata; Testudines; Dermochelyidae
Exons: 3
Source: RefSeq, a predicted model, not a curated record
CCUAGUUUCUCAUCACAAUGAAUUUUCUUUUGAGUCUUAGCAAAGAUGCAAAAAGUGAGCGGGCAUGGAUAUUAAAUAACCCUGUGACUCUGAUUAGACUACCAGUGCAUAUUCCAGUAGAACUUCUCAGUGGCAGUCUGUGAUUGAGAGGAGAGAGAGACAUCUCGGCCCCCCAGUAAACCUUGCUUGCCCACACCAGGUGUGUCUGUGUCCCCUGAGGGUCUGGCCAGUGAAUUUUUUAAAGAUACUGAUUUAUUCUCAGGUAGAGCCAGGCACAUAGUGUAGUGUUACAGUUUAUGGCCUAAAUCUUAGGGCUAUAGAAAGCCUGGAGUAGAAGAGAAAUAGUGGAUUUUUUGUGGUGGCGGCGGUGGGUGUCUCAGCCCCAAAGAGUCUGUGCUAGGGAUAUGUAGAGCUUGAUGCCUCUGUUCAUGGCAGCCUGGGGGAAGGGCACGACCGGUAGAUCUGUGGCUGUGUGGAUUCACUGGCCACAACUAAUGCUCUUUUAACUCUGACAGAACCAUUGUCCCUCUCGGCUCCUAUCUACCCUAUAGGUCCUGUCCAAAGCCUGUUUAGUCAGACUGUAUUCAUGAGAGGAGGAUUAACCCUUUAUGGUCCUAACAGAUCUGCUUAACACUGCUGUAAACACAGUAAAGUUUCACCAAAUACUCAGUUCCAUCACUUCCCCUUGGAAAACUGUCAUGUUAGUAGCCUGUGUGUGUGUGUGUGGCUCAGUUACCUUCUCUGCAUUGAGAUUUUAUAUGAAACAGAGACUGCCACUUCCAUUUCUCCUUAUGCUGUGGGCACCUGUGUUUGAUUCUAGCAUGUAAAAUGAAGGACACUGUGGGCGCAUCUUUUUCAUGUCCUCUUCCAGGACAAGGUGGAAUCCUCUGGCCUUAAUGGGCGUCUGUAAUCAGCUUGCUUUUGAGAUGUCUUUGCAGAAAAGCCAGGGACUGAAUGAGCCAUGGAGACUAACCUACCCUCUCCCUUCUAGAGAUGGCAGCUGCAGAUCAGGGUUAGGGCAGCUUUGCUGUGUACCUACACUGUGCUCAACUGAGAACCCUUUUCCAGGGGUGCCAGUGUGGCACCUGUCACCAGUACUAAAUUCACCUAUUUUUUUUUUUUAAUCAAACCCCGUGGAGGCAACUCUAGCAUGCAUGUCCUUUGCUUUGCUGUAACGUAGCUAUAGAUGGCACUCCGGUAUCAGUUAGUAGUUGCGCACAGCAGUUUCCAUGUUGAAGGCAUACAGCACUGUGACAGUCUGAUUUGGGGGAGUAAUAUCAGUUCUGGCCAGUUUCUAAAAGGUACUUUUAUUUGGUUUCUGCAGUGAAUUUGUUGCACAGUGUGGACAAUAAUUAAUGGCUGGAAGGAGAGAAAUUUACUUUAACUGUUAUCCUACUCUUAUUCCUUAAAGACAACACAGUGGAAGCUUUACAAUGUAGGAAAUAUUGUUUCCAGUGUGAAAAAUAUUGACUUUAGGGGAAAAGCUAUUGGAAAAAUUCUUUGAAAUCAAGAGAUCUGAUUUUCCAGAAAGCUCUCUCUGCUCAUAUUAGGUACUUGUGUAUGUUAUAAUUAACAGGUGCUAAUCUCUUCGGGCUCUCUUUUAUGGUGCCUGAGACACCUGCAUUAAUGAUUUAGGGCCACGAGAUGUUGCCACAAGUCCUUUCUUGCUGUAGCCCAAAGAGAACAGAGCAGGAAUUUGUGUGAUACUCCUGAGCAAGGUUGAUGUCUGGUAUUGAAAAACUAAAGGUACCAAGCCGGGGUUGUCACUGUCUCUGUUCCCUUCCUCCACUGAGAAUUUUGAACUUGUGUGUGCAGAAUAGAGUAGUGUAUUUCAGAUACUAAGCAGAAGAAACAUUAGAAUUAGUGAGAAGUUAACACACAAGCGGGUGCAGCUAUUCUGCCCAUAUCUCUUCUCACAAAGAGUAGAGGGUCUUAAGUAGUGUGGACAACCUUGUGCAGGCUUGGAUAAAUGUCACCCUGAUCUCUGUUUUGCCUCUGUGCACAGAUCCCUAUCAUCUUUCUUCGUCUUUAGCCCUGGUAGUUUAAACUCCACAGGUCCCAGCAUCAAGACUUUGUUGAAAUCCAUCUGUCUCCUUCCACAAGGUUAGCAGAGAUCGUUGCCACGCAGUGCAAAAAUGUAGACACUUUUCAGGUUUUAAAAUGUUCCCCAUUAACUUAUUCUUCUGUUUGACCCCCAAUAUCUGAAAUACACUGAAAUCUCUGACCUUACUCUUUUGCUUGACAUAAAAAUCACGGGCAUGCUUUAGAGAUGUGCAUACAUACACAAAAAUUAUCUGCAGCCCGCAAGCCUGUAGUGUUUUAGUCUUUGUUUGAUGUGAAGAUUUUACCAGUUUGGAGCCUAGUUAAUUUUAAUGGUGCAAAAUAGAGCAUGACAAAAGCAUUGCUGUAUGUACUACAAUGAGCACUGAGAGUUGCUAAUAAAUGCGGUGGUGUCCUAUUUUUAAAAAACAAACCCUGCUUCGUAAGGGGAGGGAGGUUCUGGGUACCCAGAUCCUGGUGGUUGAGCCCAAAAGCUUUUGAACCAAAUUCAGCCCUGGUAAAACACUAGCUGCAACCAGGAAUUAAAUUUUCCUUUCUUGUUCAAUGCCUGCUGUAAAGUAUAACUAUGCUAAAUGUCACAGUAUCCUACCUACUCUUGCAGACUAAGGUCUGACCAUUACUAUCCCCUUGUGUUGAAUCCACCAAGUGAAAGUGUGAGCAGGAUGGGGUGAUGGACACAUUCAGCACCUUUGUUUCAUUCAGAGAUAGUCACACCACGUUCUGUGCAGGGGAUAGAAAACAAUAUCCAUAUCCAUAAACUCCCUGUGAUGAAGUGGGAAUUUUCUGUAAUAUUUUUAUGAAUCCUAGGCAUGCCUCAGUUUCCCUCUGCAUGUGGCAUUGCUAACCAGUGGGUGCAAAAGGAUGAACACUGCUCCUGGAACGGCACAGCAGACAGGAGGUGUGUGUAUCACCUUGCUGUUGGGGGAAAGAGGGGAAUGAAUAGGAUCAUUAAUGAGCUGGCUGAAACCAGCCCAAAUCUACAUAGGGUCCAGCAAGAGAGAGAGAUGCCCCAACAACUCCACAAUCAACGCCUAACAACAGGAAACCCCAGCAAGUGGGACUUGUGAAUGAAGCUGAAAAACAAGGUGGCCAGGUAAGUGGAAGAAGGGUGUGUGUUUUUGAUUUGGUUUUGGUUUUUUUUAGGAUCUCAGGUGCCUGGACAGGGCAGACGAAGGGUGGAACAGAGAGAAACAGAGGGGGAGCCCAUCACAGCUGGCUGGCCCAUCAGGGCACUGGAUUGACCAGGGUGGACAAUGGCUUAACUUCUGCUUCUUUGUAUUAACUUCUGGACUCUAAGAUUCUGAAUGCCAGAUGGAGAAACGGAGGCAUGGAGAGCUUAUGCGACUUGCCCAAAGCAACAAAACAGUGCUAUGAAUAAAAUUGCCUAGAUCCUUCCAUCCAAAGAUCUUGCAACACAUAGUAAAAAUUAUCUAGUUUGUUAUGCUUGGACAAUGAAAAGCAAAGAAGUCACUUUCACUUUUUUUGUAAUCAAUUUAACCUUCAGGUCUCAGUGCUGCAGAGUUUGGGUCUCAAUUCUCUAUGGGCAAGUUUAUUCUUAAAAAACCCUGAUUUCACUGGAAAUUUUUAAAAAUGUGAAAAUGUUCCUUUUGGU